UUUUUUUUAACCAGGAAAAUGAAAAUUUUUUGUAUAUAAAUGUGUAUAUAUAUAUUUGGAAAAUUGAAUACAAGGCUUAGAUUGUUAGAUAUGCUUCCAAUUUUAGCCUAUAUACAUCAGAUCCAAUUGAACACAGAUGGGAUAGCAUUACAAUCAGGACAGUGCACAACUGCACAUAAACCAGUCCUCCCUCAACACCUCCGCCAUCAACAGCCAACUAGAUGACAAGGUUAAAAUUUCACAGCAGGUGCCUGCCAUCCACAGAUUCUGUUGCUGCAAGUAUCUUGAGAAAAAAAGAAAACACUUGCAGGAGAUGCAAAAUUCAAACAUCUCCAUCCCGAAUUCUUCUAUGCUAGAUGUAAAAUUAGGGACUGAAACUACCUAACUGGAUUAUCAUCACACUUAUAUCAUCAAUUGAGCCCCUCCUUGAUGACAAUUCACUCAGCUUUUUACAAGCAGAG
This 461-nucleotide unclassified non-coding RNA is filed under the name Hevea brasiliensis (rubber tree). The record is from RNAcentral. Lineage: Eukaryota; Viridiplantae; Streptophyta; Magnoliopsida; Malpighiales; Euphorbiaceae.